AACGAACGCUGGCGGCGUGCCUAACACAUGCAAGUCGAACGAGACCGUCGUGUCUAGUGGCGCACGGGUGCGUAACGCGUGGGAACCUACCCUUAGGUUCCGAAUAACUCCCCUAGGGGGGAGCUAAGACCGCAUAGUGUCUUCGGGCCAAGGAUUUAUCGCCUUUGGGUGGGCGCUGGUUGGUUUAGCUAGUUGGUAGGGUAAAAGCCUACCAAGGCGAGGAUCCUUGGCUGGUCGGAGAGGAUGAUCAGCCACACUGGAAAUGAGACCCGGCCCAGACUCCUAGGGAAGGGAGCAGUGGGGAAUAUUGGACACUGAGCGCAAGCCUGAUACCGCCACGCCGCGUGAGUGAUGCAGCGCUUAGGGUUGCACAGCCGUCUUACCCGGGAUGAUAGUGACAGUACUGGGAGAAUAAGCACCGGCUAACUACGUG
RNAcentral lists this ribosomal RNA (433 nucleotides) under uncultured bacterium. RNAcentral's name for it is "partial 16S ribosomal RNA". It matches the Rfam family "Bacterial small subunit ribosomal RNA", at positions 29 to 507 of the family's 1533-position model. The record is from RNAcentral.